Molecule: non-coding RNA, 1069 nt
Organism: Procambarus clarkii (red swamp crayfish)
Lineage: Eukaryota; Metazoa; Arthropoda; Malacostraca; Decapoda; Cambaridae
Source: RefSeq, a predicted model, not a curated record
CGUGUGACCCUCACACAUGCUCUCCACGCUGCGGCAGUGUUUGUGUGGCGCGUACAGGAAUGCUGGCCUGGGAGAAGGCGAUGGUGUUGAAGGGCCUUGUUGCCGUGGGAAGCUGGGUAUAUUCACGAGGUGGUAGCAGUGUGUAGGGCAGAGAAGGAGGCGUAGGAAGGCGCGCAAGGUGAACAUCCCUUCUCAGGAGAAGUGGCGUAUCGUAGGACCAGUGCUAUGGCCCGCUUGGUUUGCCAUAUAUGCAAAUUAUGGCUUCUGAUAUCCAUAUGUAUCCGUCGAGUGUCUGAUGAGGCGGUAAAGUAACAGGUGUGUGACGACCUCAGACUGGGGCUGUCUAUAAUACUAGUGACGGCUGUGAUGAAAUAAUGGUUUGUGACAAACUGGAAAAUGUGGAAGAAAAAUUGGAAAUAUGAACAGUUUAGAAGUAAUGACAAGGUGGCUGUUGAUAAAACUUGGAAAUGACUUGCAGAUGAAAAGAUCCAUUCAGUGUUAAACAGCGUGUGGAAAAAUGAUUAAAAGAUGACUGAAAAUAUUAAUUACAAGACGUAGUUUUGUGGUAUGGUUAUAAGAUAUCUGGCAAUACCAGAUAACACGUGUUAAGGACAAUCAGUAAAUAGUGUCAACUCCCCACGCAAGAGUGACAGGACAUUUUUUUGUUGAGAAACGCUCGGGAAUUCAAGAAAGGUAAUGUGAGAGGACUCAAGUGAGCUAAUACUGUAGUGAGACUUUAUAGUGAAGGACUGCAAUUUGUACAAAGUAGGGUACGGCGUAUAGAGACCCUGCAGCGCGGGAAGACUGCGGCGUAGAAGGAUUACAGCACACCCGGGGUGAAGGACUAUGGCCGCUGAGCUCCUGCAGAAGGAACUUCCUCAUCCAUGGAGCUUCGGUGUCACUCGGGACGGACGGAUCUUUUUUAUCAAUGAGGAGGCUCGACUCACCACCUGGCUACACCCGGUCACCUGUGAACCCGUGCUCACCGGCCACCGGCCCCUCCCAGACCUUCCUAAAGGAUGGGAGCGCGGCAUCACCCCGGAAGGCAUCCCCUACUAUAUUGAGUAAG